GAACGGUGUCUUCGGACACAGUGGCGGACGGGUGAGUAACGCGUGAGAAUCUGCCAUCAGGUCUGGGACAACCACUGGAAACGGUGGCUAAUACCGGAUGUGCCCUUCGGGGUGAAAGGUUAACUGCCUGUUGAUGAGCUCGCGUCUGAUUAGCUAGUUGGUGUGGUAAGAGCGCACCAAGGCGACGAUCAGUAGCUGGUCUGAGAGGACGAUCAGCCACACUGGGACUGAGACACGGCCCANACUCCUACGGGAGGCAGCAGUGGGGAAUUUUCCGCAAUGGGCGAAAGCCUGACGGAGCAAUACCGCGUGAGGGAGGAAGGCUCUUGGGUCGUAAACCUCUUUUCUCAGGGAAGAACACAAUGACGGUACCUGAGGAAUAAGCAUCGGCUAACUCCGUGCCAGCAGCCGCGGUAAUACGGAGGAUGCAAGCGUUAUCCGGAAUGAUUGGGCGUAAAGCGUCCGCAGGUGGCUAUGUAAGUCUGCUGUUAAAGAGUCUAGCUCAACUAGAUAAGAGCAGUGGAAACUACAAGGCUAGAGUGCGUUCGGGGCAGAGGGAAUUCCUGGUGUAGCGGUGAAAUGCGUAGAGAUCAGGAAGAACACCGGUGGCGAAGGCGCUCUGCUAGGCCGCAACUGACACUGAGGGACGAAAGCUAGGGGAGCGAAUGGGAUUAGAUACCCCAGUAGUCCUAGCCGUAAACGAUGGAUACUAGGCGUGGCUUGUAUCGACCCGAGCCGUGCCGUAGCUAACGCGUUAAGUAUCCCGCCUGGGGAGUACGCCGGCAACGGUGAAACUCAAAGGAAUUGACGGGGGCCC
This 817-nucleotide ribosomal RNA is filed under the name Nostoc sp. 'Nephroma resupinatum cyanobiont' 40_Rikkinen_98A34B. Its description in RNAcentral is "bacterial SSU rRNA". It matches the Rfam family "Bacterial small subunit ribosomal RNA", at positions 64 to 922 of the family's 1533-position model. Lineage: Bacteria; Bacillati; Cyanobacteriota; Cyanophyceae; Nostocales; Nostocaceae. The record is from RNAcentral.